RNAcentral lists this ribosomal RNA (466 nucleotides) under uncultured bacterium. RNAcentral describes it as "partial 16S ribosomal RNA". It matches the Rfam family "Bacterial small subunit ribosomal RNA", at positions 28 to 507 of the family's 1533-position model. The record is from RNAcentral.
GAUGAACGCUGGCGGCGUGCUUAACACAUGCAAGUCGAACGAUGAAGCCCAGCUUGCUGGGUGGAUUAGUGGCGAACGGGUGAGUAACACGUGAGUAACCUGCCCUUAACUCUGGGAUAAGCCUGGGAAACUGGGUCUAAUACCGGAUAGGAGCGUCCACCGCAUGGUGGGUGUUGGAAAGAUUUAUCGGUUUUGGAUGGACUCGCGGCCUAUCAGCUUGUUGGUGAGGUAAUGGCUCACCAAGGCGACGACGGGUAGCCGGCCUGAGAGGGUGACCGGCCACACUGGGACUGAGACACGGCCCAGACUCCUCCGGGAGGCAGCAGUGGGGAAUAUUGCACAAUGGGCGCAAGCCUGAUGCAGCGACGCCGCGUGAGGGAUGACGGCCUUCGGGUUGUAAACCUCUUUCAGUAGGGAAGAAGCGAAAGUGACGGUACCUGCAGAAGAAGCACCGGCUAACUACGUG